Molecule: ribosomal RNA, 467 nt
Filed under: uncultured bacterium
Lineage: Bacteria
Description: partial 16S ribosomal RNA
Rfam family: Bacterial small subunit ribosomal RNA
Source: RNAcentral
GACGAACGCUGGCGGCGUGCUUAACACAUGCAAGUCGAACGGAAAGGCCCUGCUUUUGUGGGGUGCUCGAGUGGCGAACGGGUGAGUAACACGUGAGUAACCUGCCCUUGACUUUGGGAUAACUUCAGGAAACUGGGGCUAAUACCGGAUAGGAGCUCCUGCUGCAUGGUGGGGGUUGGAAAGUUUCGGCGGUUGGGGAUGGACUCGCGGCUUAUCAGCUUGUUGGUGGGGUAGUGGCUUACCAAGGCUUUGACGGGUAGCCGGCCUGAGAGGGUGACCGGCCACAUUGGGACUGAGAUACGGCCCAGACUCCUACGGGAGGCAGCAGUGGGGAAUAUUGCACAAUGGGCGGAAGCAUGAUGCAGCAACGCCGCGUGCGGGAUGACGGCCUUCGGGUUGUAAACCGCUUUCGCCUGUGACGAAGCGUGAGUGAAGGUAAUGGGGAAAGAAGCACCGGCGAACUACGU